RNAcentral lists this transfer RNA (95 nucleotides) under Anadara kagoshimensis. RNAcentral's name for it is "tRNA-Met". The record is from RNAcentral. Lineage: Eukaryota; Metazoa; Mollusca; Bivalvia; Arcoida; Arcidae.
GGGUUGCUAGUAUAUAUUUAGUAUAGCGGGCUCAUGCCCUGAAGGGUGGGGUAAUAGUUCUUAGCCUUGGGCUUUCAAUGUUUCCCGGCAAUCCA